Molecule: long non-coding RNA, 1045 nt
Filed under: Mus musculus (house mouse)
Lineage: Eukaryota; Metazoa; Chordata; Mammalia; Rodentia; Muridae
Description: long non-coding RNA chr8:104595805-104596850
Source: RNAcentral
UGAACCCUCCAGCUCUCAAGGAGGACUGCCAGAAGCACGUUUGGGACCUGGGUGAGGAAGAGAGGAGCUAGGCCCUGGGCCAGCUGAAUUUAAUUGUGCAGCUAUUGUUCGCCUCCGUUGAGCCUCACCUCUGAACCUUCGAGGCAUCCGUCCUGGGAGGUGAUUUCUGUCUAAUCCCUAACUCCUGACACUUUUGCUGAGUAAGCCGUUCCCCCCUCCCCCACCUCCCCCAGGCUUAGCCACAGGCUACUCAUAAUUUUAGGUUCCUUUUGAUUAUAGCCCCAACUCUUGUUUCCCCGUGACACAACCCUACCUCUGCUAUUCUGUCUGCCUAGCCUCAUCCCGACGUUACUGGAAAAUCUUCCCCGUUCUAUCAUCCAGAGGUUGGAAGAAAGAAGGUGAUAUGGUUGGGUGGCAGUUGACGACAUGUAGGCAGGACUUCUUCAGUGGUUUGUGGAGUUCAGCCUAGAUCUAGAGAAGUGAAAGUAAGGCUUUCUCUCUGCAUCUUGGAAGGGAGGAGGGAGGCUUAUCAGAUGGGCCACGCGCCCCUGCCUGUUGAAUUGCCGUCACUCCGCCUCGGGGACCAUAUUUAGUGUGAGAGGUAAAAGCUAAAAAUCAUCUGGCCAUAGUCUUCAUGGGUCACUGGUGUUUGAAAACGAAUCCGCACGAAUCCGGUUUAGAGGAUAAGUUUUCUCCUCUGUCAGGUGGCUGUGGCAUUGAACUUCAGGAAAUGUGUCCCUAAACACAUGUGGUUCUUUUUGGGCAGUUUUAAUUUCCUGCCCUUGUCAGCACUUCAGCCAUCGUCGGCAAGGCUCUUGUUUCCACUGUAUCAUCCACACACUAGGUUUGGCCCCCUUGGCUUUGCAGGUAGACAUUUUGUUGAGUUUAGAUGGGGCUAGCAAAAUGACUCAGUGGGUAAAGGCUGCCAGUCUCAAAACCCUGAGUUCCAUCCAGGGGACCCCCGUGAUGAAAGGCUUGAGUUGAAAGUUGACCUCCGACCUUCAUGUGUGCACCGUGGCAUGUGAACUCACACAAAAUAAAUAAG